ACAAACGAAGACUAGAAAUAAAUGAAUAAACUAGAGGUUGAUUAAUGACAUAUUCAUCACAUAGCUUAUUUGAAUAUAAUUAGGUUUCUACAAACCUAUCCGGACACAAAAGGAUCUUAUUCGAACAAUGUCUGAAAAUUUAUAAUACAUGGAUGAAGUUUAAUUUUUAAACCCAAAAUAUCCGAAAACCGGUCUAUAUCCGAACGGCGAACGGGUACCUGAAUACUUAUGUCUUAUACAAUCUGUAAAAACUAAAAAAAAAUUGUUAACUAGUUUGGAAUCUUGUCACGAAUUGAACAAUUUCACUAAAACCUGUGAAAUUAUAUGGUUGACAUGUAAAAUAAAUGUUUUUGAAUUAUUAUCAUAAAGACAAUUAAUGAAAUAAUUAAGAAAAGUAAAAAGAUGAAUGUAAAAGAUGCAAUAAAACACUUAAAAAUAGAUAAAUUCUAUUUUGCAUUUCUAUAAUAAAUGAUGUCAGAUUAUUUAGAAAAAAAACAAUAAAUGAAGUGAUUGACGUUACUUAAAAAUGAAUCAAAAUCUAUAAAAAAAUCACUUAAAAAUAUGCAAGUAUUAAUUUGUACUUCAGUUUUAAUAGACUAGUUUUAAUAGAAUAGAGAUAAUUUCAUAUAUAAUCUUUUCUCCAUCAUAUAUAUAAACCCACACAAAUCAAACCAAGCAAACAACAAACAUCAAUCUUACAUCCUUACUACUCUUGAGUUUUAAACUUGUUUGAAGAAAAAAGUUAUAUCAGAAAUGGCUCAAAAAAUGUGUAUGGUGAUGAUGAUGAUGAUGAUGAUGGUGAUGGUAUUGGUAACAGUGGAAUGUGCUACUAUUAAUGAAGCAAUAGAAGACUACGGAUCAUGCGUCAACAGGUGCUUUGACAAUUGCGGCACAGAUGAGCAUUGCCAUUAUCAUUGCAGAUGGAUUUGCCCCAAACCUCACACACCACAGUUUAUCCUAAAGGAUGAAGCAAUACUGCCGCAAGAAGGUGGGACUACUAUCUGUUUCAGAAAUUGUACCCUGAAAUGUGGCGCUGACAUGCAUUGCAUGCACAAUUGUUUGAAGAAUUGCCCCCACUAGGACAACUCUUUUUAUUUAUCAUACAAAAUACUUAAUUUUUAUGAUGAUUCAUGUGGUUUUUAUAAGGCAAUUUGAGUUCAUAUCAAUGUAAUAGGAGUUUAUCGUUCCAGAAAUAAAUUAUCGAAUACUAGUAAAAGUUUUUGUUCUA
This is a long non-coding RNA of Brassica napus (rape), 1228 nucleotides long. RefSeq lists it as uncharacterized. NCBI's taxonomy places the organism in Eukaryota, Viridiplantae, Streptophyta, Magnoliopsida, Brassicales, Brassicaceae. The record is from RefSeq and is a predicted model, not a curated record. The transcript is spliced from 2 exons.